AACGCGAAGAACCUUACCUACUCUUGACAUCCAUGGAAUCUUGUAGAGAUACGAGAGUGCCUUCGGGAACCAUGAGACAGGUGCUGCAUGGCUGUCGUCAGCUCGUGUUGUGAAAUGUUGGGUUAAGUCCCGCAACGAGCGCAACCCUUAUCCUUUGUUGCCAGCGAUUAGGUCGGGAACUCAAAGGAGACUGCCGGUGAUAAACCGGAGGAAGGUGGGGAUGACGUCAAGUCAUCAUGGCCCUUACACGUAGGGCUACACACGUGCUACAAUGGCGUAUACAGAGGGAAGCAAGAUGGCGACAUAGGGCAAAUCUCACAAAGUACGUCUAAGUUCGGAUUGGAGUCUGCAACUCGACCCCAUGAGGUCGGAAUCGCUAGUAAUCGCAAAUCAGAAUGUUGCGGUGAAUACGUUCCCGGGUCUUGUACACACGC
RNAcentral lists this ribosomal RNA (434 nucleotides) under uncultured bacterium. Its description in RNAcentral is "bacterial SSU rRNA". It matches the Rfam family "Bacterial small subunit ribosomal RNA", at positions 958 to 1393 of the family's 1533-position model. The record is from RNAcentral.